Molecule: ribosomal RNA, 497 nt
Filed under: uncultured bacterium
Lineage: Bacteria
Description: partial 16S ribosomal RNA
Rfam family: Bacterial small subunit ribosomal RNA
Source: RNAcentral
GAUGAACGCUGGCGGCGUGCCUAAUACAUGCAAGUCGAACGAACGGACGAGAAGCUUGCUUCUCUGAUGUUAGCGGCGGACGGGUGAGUAACACGUGGAUAACCUACCUAUAAGACUGGGAUAACUUCGGGAAACCGUAGCUAAUACCGGAUAAUAUUUUGAACCGCAUGGUUCAAAAGUGAAAGACGGUCUUGCUGUCACUUAUAGAUGGAUCCGCGCUGCAUUAGCUAGUUGGUAAGGUAACGGCUUACCAAGGCAACGAUGCAUAGCCGACCUGAGAGGGUGAUCGGCCACACUGGAACUGAGACACGGUCCAGACUCCUACGGGAGGCAGCAGUUGGGAAUCUUCCGCAAUGGGCGAAAGCCUGACGGAGCAACGCCGCGUGAGUGAUGAAGGUCUUCGGAUCGUAAAACUCUGUUAUUAGGGAAGAACAUAUGUGUAAGUAACUGUGCACAUCUUGACGGUACCUAAUCAGAAAGCCACGGCUAACUACGUG